RNAcentral lists this ribosomal RNA (405 nucleotides) under Bornella anguilla. RNAcentral's name for it is "partial 16S ribosomal RNA". It matches the Rfam family "Archaeal large subunit ribosomal RNA", at positions 1997 to 2666 of the family's 2987-position model. The record is from RNAcentral. Lineage: Eukaryota; Metazoa; Mollusca; Gastropoda; Nudibranchia; Bornellidae.
AUUAUGAAUGGCCGCGGUAUCUUGACCGUGCUAAGGUAGCGUAAUCAGUUGGCUUUUAAUUGAAGUCAGGAAUGAAUGGGAUAACUGGGUUUAACUGUCUCCCCCUUAAUUUAUUGAAUUUACUAUUUAGGUGAAAAAGCCUAAAAUUAAAAAAAAGAGGAGAAGACCCUUAGAAUUUCAACUUAAAGUAAAAUUAACAUACACUGGUUUAGUUGGGGCAACUGGAGAACAGCUAUCAUAAAUGUAAACUUCUUUAAACCAUACAAGCCGCUUAUAUGAAGAAUGAAUAAAUUACCUAAGGGAUAACAGCAUAAUUUUAAAUAUAAGUUUGUGACCUCGAUGUUGGAUUAGGGAACUAACAAGCUAGCCGUUUGUUGUGUGGGUUCUGUUCGAACUGUAAUCCCU